Aricia agestis (brown argus) is the source of this 1478-nucleotide long non-coding RNA. RefSeq lists it as uncharacterized. Lineage: Eukaryota; Metazoa; Arthropoda; Insecta; Lepidoptera; Lycaenidae. The record is from RefSeq and is a predicted model, not a curated record. The transcript is spliced from 2 exons.
AAACAAUGUGAUAAACAAUCUACACUGUAGGAAACAUAAAUGUAUAAAAUUUAACACCAUUGCGGAUUGCCUCUUUUCGUUUCGCUAACAGCAUUUAAGUGGUAAACGAGAGUUUGUAAAUGUUUUAUGAUCUUUAUAACUACUAUAAAUCUUUAAUAACAAAACUUAAAACCUAGAAGGUUAAAGUCUGUAAAUAAAGUAGAUUUAUAAUGUAUGUCAUUAACAUUAAGUAAAAGCUAACUGUUAUAGUCAGUACCGAUUUCACCAAGGCCUGUUAAAGUAAAUGAAAGAAAAGGCGUGAUAUUUUAACAAACAACACUAACAGACGUUGGUCAAAUUGGAUCUUAAUCUGUUAUACUGAAAUACACAAUAAAAACAUUGUAUAGUUAUGGUUAAGUACUUCCUUCCGACAUUAAUAAGCUUAUAAAAUAAUUAUUGUUGCUUUAUCUACUCCAUAAGUAAGAUUAAGAUUUUCAUUUAAAUAUUUAAUUUCUUAAUACUUACAAUUGUCCAUAAAAACCUUAAAAAUGAGUUAUUGUCAAUUUCGUAUUUCAGUAUUAUGGAAUAUGUAGGAUUACACUUACCAAAGACCUCCAAACAAUAAUUGUCCAGUCAAAGACAGAUCCGGUGCCCAAUUCUCAAACUACGAAAUUUGCUUCAAUAUCAGGCUAUCAAAUCAAUUAUUCACAGCAUAAUGUCAGAGCAAAAUCUUUGAUUAGUGUAAUACUACCAUUAGGGCCUUACACACAAGCGGUUUGCGGGUGUUCAUACACUAGUGUGAGCGCCGCGCAACCGCUCAUAACGCAAACCGUGUUAUAAGGCCCUUAAGCUGUUUACACAAAUGCCGCGGCGGCGGCGGCUCCAUUACUCAUCCUUGUGUUUCUAUUGUUUCUAUUUGCCCUUACACACGGCGGAGGCGAUUCUUUACCACGGCGGCAAUAAAGCUGCCGCUACGGCGCCGUGUGUAAACACGCUUAGGGCUAAGGCCCAUUGUAGCCAAUCUAGAUUACAUAAUUAUUAUGUUAUCUCUUUCAUAAAUAUUAAGAACAAAGAGACGACAUGAUAUUUAACCCAGAACUGCACUAGUGAAUUCAGGCUAACUAGUGCAGUUCUUGGUGGUUCUGUAAGCAUUUUUAUGUAGGUACGUAUAUAAGAUUUAAUUGGAAUUUAUUUAUGAUGACAUAGUUGUAGAUUUCGUUUUUCAUUAAUAAGAUUGUAAUUUUGCUUUAGAGGUUCUCGUGAGUCAUGACAAAAAUAAAUACAUACAUACAAUAGUGUUCAGGAAAUUUCGAAUUCAGAAAAUCUGAGGAAAAUAACUUGAAGGCCAAUCGAAGUAAGAGUUUAUCAUCAAGCAUAAAUACAAAGAUCAAGAGAACCUGACUAAAAUAUCUGACACCGACUAGAGCACUGAACCUAAAUGCAUUGUAUGUAUUUUCUACGAUAUUUGGUCUGUGGUAAAGAGAAUAAAUUUUUUAAAA